This 425-nucleotide long non-coding RNA is filed under the name Equus asinus (donkey). RNAcentral describes it as "lncRNA (ENSEASG00005029151.1)". The record is from RNAcentral. Lineage: Eukaryota; Metazoa; Chordata; Mammalia; Perissodactyla; Equidae.
UCAGCCGGCUGAAGUGGAGUGCACUGAACCUAGCUAGUAGGCCACUGGGGCUGGCCCUCCUCUUUCUUAAUGACUGGCUUCCAGGAAUACUGCUUCCACUCCUUGAGCUGAUUCAUGAUAUUGUGACAUGAAGGUACAGGGCCAGAGGCUGUGUCACGACAUGAACAUAUCCUGUGGUUCCCAGUACCAGAAUGGAGAUUCCAGGAGGAUCCACGUCACGGAGUUGUGAGGGGUGACUGAGAGAAGUCGUGGAGAGCGUGAAGCACAGGAACGGGCCCACAGGAAGUGCCCAAGAAAUGGAAGCUUUAUACCGUCAUUGUCAACGAGAAAAGCAAAAAGCCCACUUUUCCUGCAAAAAGAAAUCGUAUAUUUAUACAAAUCCUAUUGUUAUACUUAUUAUUUAUGGUCAAUUUUAAAGACAUAAA